CUCCAUAGGAAUUUGCAUUACCUUAAAUAGAUGAAGCGAAAACUAUAAAAGUAAAAAUUUAAAGAAAAACCUGAAUUGGUCCUCAAGGGAUAUAAUAAUUUGUGUUCUAUUUCACAGUUACACGUGUGUUUAAAUGGACAGACCCAAUGGAAAAGGCUGUGCAUUAAAAGGCAGAUGACAAGUUGACCACCUAUUCCUUCCACUAAUCCGUCAGCUCUUGGCCUGCAAAGCCCAUGGCUGCCUGCCUGCUGUGGUUGAGGUGGGAAUGGGGGGAGGGGAGAGGAGGAUUUCCGUGCAAUGCCAUGGAAACUGCAAG
This is a non-coding RNA of Pelobates cultripes (western spadefoot toad), 316 nucleotides long. NCBI's taxonomy places the organism in Eukaryota, Metazoa, Chordata, Amphibia, Anura, Pelobatidae. The record is from the annotation of a GenBank genome assembly.